UCAAACUUGGUCAUUUAGAGGAAGUAAAAGUCGUAACAAGGUUUCCGUAGGUGAACCUGCGGAAGGAUCAUUCGAGAGAGUUUUGAAGGUCUCCCUUGGGAGAACGAGAAACUCGAAUCCACUUUUUAAAGGAGCUCUCUCUUCAUGAAAGGGUGUCUUCCAUUAGAAAUAGUGUGAAGACGGAAGGCUGAUGAAUAGUUUUUUGAAACUUUUUCUGCGCACACAGUCCUUAAUCCUUGCCAAACAAAAGUGAUGCUUAAAAAGUUUUCACCUCAACCACUAUUUCUACCAUCCUAUUCUCAACUUUUUAUUUCAGUCGUAAGAUCUGAAAGAUAACUAAGAAACAACUUUUGACAACGGAUCUCUUGGUUCUCGCAUCGAUGAAGAACGCAGC
This 394-nucleotide unclassified non-coding RNA is filed under the name uncultured fungus. Its description in RNAcentral is "partial contains small subunit ribosomal RNA, internal transcribed spacer 1, and 5.8S ribosomal RNA". The stretch from base 1 to 73 matches the Rfam family "Eukaryotic small subunit ribosomal RNA", at positions 1759 to 1831 of the family's 1831-position model. Lineage: Eukaryota; Fungi. The record is from RNAcentral.